RNAcentral lists this ribosomal RNA (301 nucleotides) under uncultured bacterium. RNAcentral's name for it is "partial 16S ribosomal RNA". It matches the Rfam family "Bacterial small subunit ribosomal RNA", at positions 509 to 807 of the family's 1533-position model. The record is from RNAcentral.
CAGUAGCCACGGGAAUACGAAGGGGGCUAGCGUUGUUCGGAAUCACUGGGCGUAAAGCGCACGUAGGCGGACCUUUAAGUCAGGGGUGAAAGCCUGGAGCUCAACUCCAGAACUGCCUUUGAUACUGGAGGUCUCGAGUGUGGAAGAGGUUGGUGGAACUGCGAGUGUAGAGGUGAAAUUCGUAGAUAUUCGCAAGAACACCAGUGGCGAAGGCGGCCAACUGGUCCAUUACUGACGCUGAGGUGCGAAAGCGUGGGGAGCGAACAGGAUUAGAUACCCCAGUAGUCCCUGUCUCUUAUAC